AUUGAACGCUGGCGGCAGGCCUAACACAUGCAAGUCGAGCGGUAGAGAGGUGCUUGCAUCUCUUGAGAGCGGCGGACGGGUGAGUAAUGCCUAGGAAUCUGCCUAGUGGUGGGGGAUAACGUUCGGAAACGGACGCUAAUACCGCAUACGUCCUACGGGAGAAAGCGGGGGGAUCUUCGGACCUCGCGCCAUUAGAUGAGCCUAGGUCGGAUUAGCUAGUUGGUGAGGUAAUGGCUCACCAAGGCGACGAUCCGUAACUGGUCUGAGAGGAUGAUCAGUCACACUGGAACUGAGACACGGUCCAGACUCCUACGGGAGGCAGCAGUGGGGAAUAUUGGACAAUGGGCGAAAGACCUGAUCCAGCCAUGCCGCGUGUGUGAGAAGGUCUUCGGAUUGUAAAGCACUUUAAGUUAGGGUAGGAAGGGUAGUAACCUAAU
Molecule: ribosomal RNA, 437 nt
Filed under: uncultured bacterium
Lineage: Bacteria
Description: bacterial SSU rRNA
Rfam family: Bacterial small subunit ribosomal RNA
Source: RNAcentral